AUUUAUAACCGGCUUGCUGGCCAUGCCAAGAGGUGAGCAGUUAGAUCAACCAGAGAGCGCAGGGUCAUUUGAUUCUUCUGGAAGCCACAGCUGUUACUAGAGUUGACAGAGGAUGCCGGGGCCCAAACCCUCAGCUGUCACACUUGGUCCUAAGCAUGUUCCACAGAACCACCAGCUUGUUCACAACUCUGCUACCUAGAAAAGCUGGGCCAGCUAAGUCACGGCCAGCGCUCCCUCAGAACCGACUCAGGCGGGGUGGGCUCAGAGCCAGGUGCUGCUGUUAGGCAUGCUGACACAGAAGCCUGGUAGCCCAGAGUCCAUGGAAGUCUCCCUUUCCCCCAGUCAUCCCUGGCACACUGUCCCAGGCAGAUGACUGAACUCUCGGGGGCCCGAGGAAGGAGCCUGAACAUCUCAUGGAGAAUUCCAGGUCAGCAUCCCUCCCCUUUGACCUCACCCAAAGAAAAGAAAAGAAGAAAAAAAUGUCUAACCCACCCACCCCUGAGAAAAAGAAACAGUCUAGACAGAGAGCCAUUGAAGAGAACUCUUACACAUUGUGACAGGGAUCCCAAAGUGCAGCUCUUCACAGUUGAUGGCUUCUGGCAGGGGUGAGGGUGAGGAAGGACUCAGUUUUCUUUAAGGGGGUGGCCCCUGGGAGUUUGACCAUGCUCCCGUGAGGCUCGAGGAUAUUAAGGCAGCAAAACAGCCUUUAAGACCAGGAAACAACGCCUUAACAACAGAGCCACGCUCAGCCCAGCCUGUCCACUGACUACGGGGUCCUGUGUUCUCCCCGUACUUGCACGGUUUAGAUGAUUCUCCACUCCCUUCCCUUCCGACGCAGUCCUAUUCAACAACGCGUGGAGGAUCUGACCACAGCUUUGCUUCCUAGUGGGCUCCAUAAACCGGACUAAGUCCGCAGCCUACCAAGGCCUUCUGCCUGGGUGAAGCGCGACACCAAGUGGACAAGGGCGCCACCUACAGAUGGUUCCGGAAAGUGCCAUAGCGGCCUUCAAACCGGGCGGCAACCUCUCCGUGGGGUGUGGCGGCCGCUGGGCGCCCGCCUGAAGUUCCCAUCCGCAUCCCCAACCUGAGCUGGUCCCCGCAGGGCGCCCAGAGGUACACGCUGUGCCAAACUCGCCCGCAGCAGCAAGCCAACGGAAUCGCGUGGGGAAAAUGGAAAAAAAAACAGGCCUGCACGCCUCCGCGGGGAGUUGAUGAUCAGCAAAGCAACCAAAAUCUUCGAAGUCACCCGCAACCCCACUCAGACUGGCAGUCUAAAAAAGAACAUUGUGAAGGGCAGGGCGUUAUUUAUUCCCACUUUUCCUGGAACAUGAAAAAAAUAACUUCAAAUAAAAAUGACCCAAAU
This is a long non-coding RNA of Peromyscus maniculatus bairdii (prairie deer mouse), 1363 nucleotides long. RefSeq lists it as uncharacterized. NCBI's taxonomy places the organism in Eukaryota, Metazoa, Chordata, Mammalia, Rodentia, Cricetidae. The record is from RefSeq and is a predicted model, not a curated record.